CUGAGUGUCUUAUCUCGAGAGCUCUGAUGCCUUCUAGUUUUGUCGUCUCUACUGGAAUGUUCGGUUUCUGUUCUGCUUUUACUCUUUCUCGAUUCCGGAGAAUGAUGUCGUCUGGAAUUUCUCUCGCGGGAUCUACUGCCCGCAUUAUCUUUACUGGCUUCUGUGUUUCUGUUAUGUCUAGAGGAUUCGCUGGACUUUUUGGAAAGCUUCGAAGAUUUAACUACUUCCGGUGACUUCUGCUUCGAUUCUUUCUCGGCAGGAUAUCCUUCCGGACUACUAAAAUAUAAAAUUUAAAAAUUUCGCAUCAAUAAUCGCAAUUAGCCAUGGCCAAAAUGAACUUAAUACCAAUUUACGGUUACCAUCUCCAAUUAAUUAUUUUAUAUAAAUAAACCAUCGAAAUGCCGGAU
This 407-nucleotide long non-coding RNA is filed under the name Androctonus crassicauda. The record is from RNAcentral. Lineage: Eukaryota; Metazoa; Arthropoda; Arachnida; Scorpiones; Buthidae.